This 610-nucleotide transfer RNA is filed under the name uncultured Prochlorococcus sp. Its description in RNAcentral is "partial contains 16S ribosomal RNA, 16S-23S ribosomal RNA intergenic spacer, and 23S ribosomal RNA". The stretch from base 226 to 298 matches the Rfam family "tRNA". The record is from RNAcentral. Lineage: Bacteria; Bacillati; Cyanobacteriota; Cyanophyceae; Synechococcales; Prochlorococcaceae.
UGGAUCACCUCCUAACAGGGAGACAACAAAAUGUUUAUAUUAUUAUUUUGUCACCUUAGGUCGAUCGGUAUCUCACGUUCUUAAUUUGUUAAGAAUUUCAUUUCCUAAGUUUUUCUAGGUCACACCCAUUAUUUUUCCUGGGCCAUUAGCUCAGGUGGUUAGAGCGCACCCCUGAUAAGGGUGAGGUCCCUGGUUCAAGUCCAGGAUGGCCCAUAUCUCUAUGUUGGGGGUAUAGCUCAGUUGGUAGAGCGCCUGCUUUGCAAGCAGGAUGUCAGCGGUUCGAGUCCGCUUACCCCCACUGAUUACCACCUCUUCCAUAAUCCGUAGAAAGGAAAUGUUUUGAGUUGUGAUCAUUAUUCUGAACGAAUCUAGCUUCCUAAUGAAAUCAUUAAGAUGCUGGACUCAUUGAAUUAAUUUCACUGUUUUCAGAGAACCUUGACAACUGCAUAGAUUAUUUUUAAAGACAAUAAGCAUCUUUAAUGAUGCAGAUUUAUUAUUUGUGCGAAUGCAUUAAUAACAAUUCUAUUAAGCUGAUGCUUCAAUUUUGAAGUUAUUGGUCAAGCUACAAAGGGCUCACGGAGGAUACCUAGGCACACAGAGGCGAUGAAGG